GCCUGGAUACCCAAAGUGCUUGCUCCUGAUAAUGUUCUUGUUCACAAGGAAUCUGGAUCUGAGUUCCUCCAAGAUGGUUUAUAGAUAUUAAACGACGUAAAUGUGGAGUUUAGUCCCAGAAACAAUGGCUUGCAUCUGCUAAAAAUAUUUUUUGGCCAGAGUCUACAUAAUAAAGAGUAGACCCCGCAUUGGCUGCUGGGCGCGAGAAAUACGGCCGCCAUCUUGGACCGGUCGUACUCCUAGUUGCGUAGCAGCUGAAGCAACGGCGCCAGAGCACUGUGCAGCAUAUUCCUGCUCAAAUCGUCGGACCAUCGAAAGCAGGGCUCGGUGGAUUACUUUUCACAAUGUUUUUCAGGUCCUAGAUGCUUCUAAAUGGUAUGUAUUACACAACAUCAACUUUAUGCAGGUGUCAGAAAGAUUGGUAUGUAUGUUGAUAUGAGGUUAUCUUGUUUAAAUGUUUUUCAAUAUGCAGUUUGGUUUCUGUUGGCAUUAUCUUGUACUCAAUGUGUUUUUCAGGUCCUAGAUGCUUCUAAAUGGUAUGUAUUACACAACAUCAACUUUAUGCAGGUGUCAGAAAGAUUGGUAUGUAUGUUGAUAUGAGGUUAUCUUGUUUAAAUGUUUUUCAAUAUGCAGUUUGGUUUCUGUUGGCAUUAUCUUGUACUCAAUGUGUUUUUCAGGUCCUAGAUGCUUCUAAAUGGUAUGUAUUACACAACAUCAAGUACAUGUAGGUGUCAAAAGGGUAGGUAUUGCAUGUGUUGUUUUCAAGUUAUCCCAGUUCUGCAAUUACAUUGUUACAAGUUAAUGUUCCUUUGUGUACAAGUAUACUGUAUAAGUUAAACAAGAAACUGAUCCCAUUCCUAAAAACAUGGAUGCAAACUAAUUAUCUAUCUGCCCUGGUAGCUGUUUACCAUUUUCAUUCUCUGUGAGUUUGCACCCCUGUGAUAGGCACUUUACUGCUUUGUAUUAACAAAAUCACAUGGGGCUUUCUUGGGGUGUCUUUUCACCAUGAUCAGAGUAAUAAAACUUUUUUAUUUUGAAGGUACUUGUCGGUCAUCAGAUCAAUAACGACGUGUGAUGCUGAUGAUUCCUGAACUGCUUGGAGCUCCUAUUUAAUUCAAUCAGAGCAUCAGGAGGCUGGAAUAACAAUCCUUCGCCACGCCAGUUCCAGGCCAUCUUCCACCGGCUGAUGGUUUGGUGUGGUGUCUCACCUGGUGAGACAGGCAAUGUGGCAGCCCAGGAUAACACUGUGUCCCUGUCUGCUGUGGAGAUGUCCUCUCCUGAAACUGCUGAAGAGCACCCAUCUCCAUUCGCCAACAUUUGGCCCUUGUGUGUGACCACAGUUAUCUCCCCACUCGGUUUGGUGGUCUGGUGGAAAAUGCUCUGGUCUACAUAGCAGGGUUUCUAGUCCGGCAGAUUCUACGAAAACUGUCCUGUGAUGUGUGCCGUGCGAGCUUGGUCUGAGAUGCUGUACCAUCUUCAUUUGACAAGAGCUACCACCUUCUAACCCUGAAAAACAACGGCGGCCUAGUUAUUCCAUCACAAGGCACAGUGAAGGCUUUUUUUUUUUUAUUAUUAUUUUAAUCUUUGUAUAUUAAGGUUGCUUUGUUCUUAUUUUCUCUGUUUUGUAAAGUGUCUUUGAGCACUGUAUAAAGCGCUAUAUAAAUAUAAUGUUUUUUUUAUUUUUUAUUAUUUUAAUAAUGUGCUGAGUGCUGCAGAGGGGGUGAUUCACCAAUGCAAGCUCCUGAGGUGUCGACAGUCACACACAUUGUCCGGGACGAGAUUGGAACGGAGGAUGUUUUUUGCUUGGGGAACACAUU
Long non-coding RNA from Esox lucius (northern pike), 1817 nucleotides. RefSeq lists it as uncharacterized. The record is from RefSeq and is a predicted model, not a curated record. NCBI's taxonomy places the organism in Eukaryota, Metazoa, Chordata, Actinopteri, Esociformes, Esocidae. The transcript has 4 exons.